AUUGAACGCUGGCGGCAGGCCUAACACAUGCCAGUCGAACGGUAACAGAAAGCAGCUUGCUGCUUUGCUGACGAGUGGCGGACGGGUGAGUAAUGUCUGGGAAACUGCCUGAUGGAGGGGGAUAACUACUGGAAACGGUAGCUAAUACCGCAUAACGUCGCAAGACCAAAGAGGGGGACCUUCGGGCCUCUUGCCAUCGGAUGUGCCCAGAUGGGAUUAGCUAGUAGGUGGGGUAAAGGCUCACCUAGGCGACGAUCCCUAGCUGGUCUGAGAGGAUGACCAGCCACACUGGAACUGAGACACGGUCCAGACUCCUACGGGAGGCAGCAGUGGGGAAUAUUGCACAAUGGGCGCAAGCCUGAUGCAGCCAUGCCGCGUGUUUGAAGAAGGCCUUCGGGUUGUAAAGUACUUUCAGCGGGGAGGAAGGGAGUAAAGUUAAUACCUUUGCUCAUUGACGUUACCCGCAGAAGAAGCACCGGCUAACUCCGUG
RNAcentral lists this ribosomal RNA (490 nucleotides) under uncultured bacterium. RNAcentral describes it as "partial 16S ribosomal RNA". It matches the Rfam family "Bacterial small subunit ribosomal RNA", at positions 30 to 507 of the family's 1533-position model. The record is from RNAcentral.